AUACGUAGGGUGCAAGCGUUAAUCGGAAUUACUGGGCGUAAAGCGUGCGCAGGCGGUUUUGGAAGACAGAGGUGAAAUCCCCGGGCUCAAACCGGGAACUGCCUUUGUGACUGCAAGGCUAGAGUACGGCAGAGGGGGAUGGCAUUCCGGGGGUAGCAGUGAAAUGCGUAGAUAUGCGGAGGAACACCGAUGGCGAAGGCAAUCCCCUGGGCCUGUACUGACGCUCAUGCACGAAAGCGUGGGGAGCAAACAGGAUUAGAUACCCUGGUAGUCCACGCCCUAAACGAUGUCAACUGGUUGUUGGGGAUUUAUUUUCUCAGUAACGAAGCUAACGCGUGAAGUUGACCGCCUGGGGAGUACGGCCGCAAGGUUAAAACUCAAAGGAAUUGACGGGG
This 395-nucleotide ribosomal RNA is filed under the name uncultured bacterium. RNAcentral describes it as "partial 16S ribosomal RNA". It matches the Rfam family "Bacterial small subunit ribosomal RNA", at positions 523 to 918 of the family's 1533-position model. The record is from RNAcentral.